This 178-nucleotide ribosomal RNA is filed under the name uncultured bacterium. RNAcentral's name for it is "partial 16S ribosomal RNA". It matches the Rfam family "Bacterial small subunit ribosomal RNA", at positions 335 to 526 of the family's 1533-position model. The record is from RNAcentral.
ACUCCUACUGGAGGCAGCAGUGGGGAAUUUUCCGCAAUGGGCGAAAGCCUGACGGAGCAAUACCGCGUGAGGGAAGACUGCCUAUGGGUUGUAAACCUCUUUUUUCAGGGAGGAAUAAAAUGACGUGUACCUGAAGAAUAAGCAUCGGCUAACUCCGUGCCAGCAGCCGCGGUAAUAC